Amphiprion ocellaris (clown anemonefish) is the source of this 3102-nucleotide long non-coding RNA. RefSeq lists it as uncharacterized. NCBI's taxonomy places the organism in Eukaryota, Metazoa, Chordata, Actinopteri, Pomacentridae. The transcript has 3 exons. The record is from RefSeq and is a predicted model, not a curated record.
GUCAGACCAUAGAAGACAGAGCGCUAGCGUAUCUAGCCUUCUUUCUAUAGCUAUGGUCGGCACGUCUGGUAGCAUCUCUGGCUGCUGUUGAUCUUGUUUUUGGAGUAAAACAUGGUGGAAGCUGAAUUAGUGAGGAUGACUCCUGCUCCUGUCAUCUCUAAGCUCCUCACACAUCUUUACCUGCACAUGAGGAAAAUCACUCCUGUAGAAUGCAGAUGUUCAGAGGGAGAUGAUGCCACAUCUGGUCCAGCUGAUGGAAGGUCUUGAAGUUCUCUGACUGGCCUCGACUGAAGAUGGUCGUCUCACUGGAUUUAAGGUUCAGAUGCUCAGUAACAAACUCCACCAAUGUGCCAACAGGGAAGCUUUAGGUUUAUUAAAUGUUGCUAUGAAGGUAUCGCUGUUUUUCUUAGUGAAUGCAAUGUGCUCCAACUGAAAGUUGAAUUAGAACUUAGAAGUAAAUCCUUCCAGAUGAAAACUAUGAUGGUGUUGGAUUGUCAGACUGUAAUGUUGCAGCUCAAAGCAGCUUUUCUAGCUCAGUUCAUUCUGACAUUCAGCUAUGAAUCAACACAGCAGAUGGUGAUCCAUGCUGUGGAAGUCUCACAUCUCCUGAUUUAAUGGAGCUGCUUCACACUUUUUACACUAUUUAUUCACCGACACUUUAUUUAAUAAAAGUCCCAUCUAGUUUUUAUGAGGAAUGUGAUGUUUUAAUUUCUCUGAAUAACUGCAGUCUAAUGUAACAGCUGGAAUUGUAACAUCUGUCCUGAUAUUGAUCAUGAAGUAUUGAUCAGAAUACUUAUGGUUAGCAGUCAUCCCUGAAGUUUUACAUUAAAAUCUUUACUUGUGUUGGGAACUUUGGUAAGAAGCAGAAACGUUAGCGUUGCCAUGGAUACAUGAGUGUUAAAUUCUGUCCAUGUUUCCAUUUUGGGAAAUUCAGUCCAGUUCCAGAAUGUGGAGGAAUUUAGUCUCACAAUCACAGACAACAAAUAUUAUCUGAAAGUCGGGUUAUUGUUGUUUAUCAGCACAAUACAAAAAGAUUAAUGUUAGAAAUAUUCCAGUUAAGACUCUAGAAUAUCAUGAUUUAUGUAAAUUUACCUCAAUAAUAUGAAUGUUCAGGUUAAGAUUGUACAGUGAUAUUUAUUAUGUAAGUUUAGCUGAUUAAAGUUUAUGACUCUGCACUAAAAUAUUAUUUAAAUUGACAUCAUUAUUAUAAUAUUUAGGGUCAGACCCCAACUUGAAUUAGAACUUAGAAGUAAAUCCUUCCAUCUGAAAGGAUUUAGUUGCAUUAAUAGCCUCAUAACAUUCUAAUUUUUAUUCCAGUCUUGGUUGGAAAUAGAAUCUCUGUAUUGAUUCAGGUAAAAACUGAACUUCACAGCAUGUUGGAGCAAAACAACCAGAUGAAAACUGUGAUGGUGUUGGAUUGUCAGACCGUAAUGUUGCAGCUCAAAGCAGCUUUUCUAGCUCAGUUCAUUCUGACAUUCAGCUAUGAAUCAACACAGCAGAUGGUGAUCCAUGCUGUGGAAGUCUCACAUCUCCUGAUUUAAUGGAGCUGCUUUGCACUUUUUACACUGUUUAUUCACCAACACUUUAUUUAAUAAAAGUCCCAUCUAGUUUUUAUGAGGAAUGUGAUGUUUUAAUUUCUCUGUGAAUAACUGCAGUCUAAUGCAACAGCUGGAGUUGUAACAUCUGUCCUGAUAUUGAUCAUGAAGUAUUGAUCAGAAUGAUCAGAUGAGUUUGUUUUUACUACCAGCUACCAUUCAGUCUGAGAUAUUAGGAAUAAAUAAAUGUGCAUAAUAUGGAAAUGAACAGAUUCGAUUUUUAUUUGCUCCUACAGCUGCUGCAGGUUCCAAAGUUCCAGAAUGUGGAGGAAUUUAGUCUCACAAUCACAGACAACAAAUAUUAUCUGAAAGUCGGGUUAUUGUUGUUUAUCAGCACAAUACAAAAAGAUUAAUGUUAGAAAUAUUCCAGUUAAGACUCUAGAAUAUCAAGAGUUAUGUAAGUUUACCUCAAUAAUAUAAAUGUUCAGGUUAAGAUUGUGCAGUGAUAUUUAUUAUGUAAGUUUAGCUGAUUAAAGUUUUACUCUGCACUACAAUAUUAUUUAUUAUUUAAAUUUACACCAUUAUAAUAUUUUGGGUCAGACCCUACAGUAUUGAGAUUAAGAAAUCAAAUAUUCUAUAAAAUGUAAAUACACUGAACUCAUUUGGAGAUAUUUAAGCGAGACUCUACAAUAUUAUUUGACACAAAUCUAUCUAAAUCAAAAUUUUAAUCAUUUUUACUCCAAACAUUUACUGGACUAAUUUAAAUAUUAAAAUCACUCUUUUCUAAUCCUCUGCUGUACGUUCAAACCUGAGGCCUUAAAUAGAAACACACAAGUAUCUGUUUGAAGGAACUUCUGCAGAGUCCUGGUUCCAGAACAUGAUGAUAGAAUUAUAGACAAACUUUAACAAAAGCUGCCUGAGAGUUUACAGCUUUUUAUGUGAGAUUUCUUCAGUAAUUUAAUGAGAGUUAUCAGCAAAAAUCAAGUGUUCAUUUGGUGAACUUGAUUUCCUAAAACAUCCAGAAUUGGAGCUCAUAUCAGCUGUAAAGUUUCUGCUCCUUCAAAGUUCACAACACAAUGAAUGAAUUCCUAAAACACUCUCAGUGCUGGAGAGCGUUUGUGAUGCUGAAGCAGUGAUCAGUUUUUCUGUUUCUUCUCUGGAGAUGCACAAUGAGGGACGUCUGCAGCGACUGAGAAAGAGUCUCACCACAUCCUGACAUGAGGAAAAAGACUUUAUUGAAGACUACAAUGAGAAAAACUAUCGGACAGCAGACGGCUGCAUUCAAGGUGAGCUCUGAACAUUUGAUCUGGAACAGGAAUUCAAUAACGGCAGCAUGAGCUUCAUUUCAGUCUGUAGCUGCUGAAUUCAUGGAUGAAUCAUCUGGCACUAGAGAAGAAGACCAUCAAACAUCCACAUCAGCUGAUGGAGGUCCAAGAGUCUCACCAAACAAACAACCUACAGAGUGAAGACCUCGAAUCUGAUUGGACGGCCUCCUAUUCAGCCACAUGUGUGAACAAAUGCCUCUAAGUUGAUUUGUUUUCUAAAAUAAAUCUAGUUUGAGUCCUAA